CAGAGCACACAGCCUCAAGAAAUACGAGAAAGGCGGCAGGGGCAGAGUGGACACAACCUGAAAACCAACUGGACUGAGCAUCCUUCUCCUAAAAUCUCAGCCAGAAGCCACGAUGGAGGGUCCUGGGAAGGGAAGAGAUGUGAAGAUUUCUGUGAUUCUAAAACCUUGGGUCUGCCUGCAAACUUCUCUCUGAUCCCAGCCGAGA
Molecule: long non-coding RNA, 205 nt
Filed under: Homo sapiens (human)
Lineage: Eukaryota; Metazoa; Chordata; Mammalia; Primates; Hominidae
Description: non-protein coding lnc-LBR-1:3
Source: RNAcentral